CAGAAAACAAGGCAUCUGCUCAGUGUUGAACAUCUGAAGUCCUCGCGUGAGUGCACCUGCGUGCAGAUGUCUCCUGGUGUUUAUUAUGGCUGUGCUCUGUGAUUACAGUGCACUGGCAAAGGGCUGUAGUGUACUGAACAAUGAUGCCUGUUUUUAUUAGGGUUCCUGAAGUGGUUCAGGAGCUUCCAUUGACUUCGCCUGUGGAUGACUUCAGGCAGCCUCGUUACAGCAGCAGUGGUAACUUUGAGACACCUUCAAAAAGAGCACCUGCAAAGGGAAGAGCAGGAAGGUCAAAGAGAACAGAGCAAGAUCACUAUGAGACAGACUACACAACUGGCGGCGAGUCCUGUGAUGAGCUGGAGGAGGACUGGAUCAGGGAAUAUCCACCUAUCACUUCAGAUCAACAAAGACAACUGUACAAGAGGAAUUUUGACACUGGCCUACAGGAAUACAAGAGCUUACAAUCAGAACUUGAUGAGAUCAAUAAAGAACUCUCCCGUUUGGAUAAAGAAUUAGAUGACUAUAGAGAAGAAAGUGAAGAGUACAUGGCUGCUGCUGAUGAAUACAAUAGACUGAAGCAAGUGAAGGGAUCUGCAGAUUACAAAAGUAAGAAGAAUCAUUGCAAGCAGUUAAAGAGCAAAUUGUCACACAUCAAAAAGAUGGUUGGAGACUAUGAUAGACAGAAAACAUAGAAGGCUGAUGCCAAGUUGUUUGAGAAAUUAAGUAUCUGAC
This 732-nucleotide small RNA is filed under the name Pan troglodytes (chimpanzee). RNAcentral's name for it is "retained intron". Lineage: Eukaryota; Metazoa; Chordata; Mammalia; Primates; Hominidae. The record is from RNAcentral.